This 227-nucleotide long non-coding RNA is filed under the name Nicotiana benthamiana. RNAcentral's name for it is "long non-coding RNA (NBEN_LNC013549)". The record is from RNAcentral. Lineage: Eukaryota; Viridiplantae; Streptophyta; Magnoliopsida; Solanales; Solanaceae.
AAGACUUGCAACUUUUGUUUGAGCCUUCGGGUUUGUCGGCGCUUCUUUUGCCAAAAAAUUUAUUUUCUUCUCUUAAUUUUUCUUUAUCUUGGCUCAAUUUUUUCAACUCCUUCUCCUUUGAAGAGAGUUGUUUCUUUAAAUCCUUAGUGGUUUAGAAGCGCUAACAAAUUCGCCAUAUAACUCAUCAAAGGCGUCUUGCAUAUCUUCAUAAGUAUAAGGAUCUUUAG